AUUGAACGCUGGCGGCAGGCCUAACACAUGCAAGUCGAACGGUAACAGGAAACAGCUUGCUGUUUCGCUGUCGAGUGGCGGACGGGUGAGAAAUGUCUGUGAAACUGCCUGAUGGAGGGGGAUAACUACUGGAAACGGUAGCUAUUACCGCAUAACGUCCCAAGAGCAAAGAGGGGGACCUUCGGGCCUCUUGCCAUCAGAUGUGCCCAGAUGGGAUUAGCUAGUAGGUGGGGUAACGGCUCACCUAGGCGACGAUCCCUAGCUGGUCUGAGAGGAUGACCAGCCACACUGGAACUGAGACACGGUCCAGACUCCUACGGGAGGCAGCAGUGGGGAAUAUUGCACAAUGGGCGCAAGCCUGAUGCAGCCAUGCCGCGUGUAUGAAGAAGGCCUUCGGGUUGUAAAGUACUUUCAGCGGGGAGGAAGGGAGUAAAGUUAAUACCUUGGCUUAUUGACGUUACCCGCAGAAGAAGCACCGGCUAACUCCGUG
This 490-nucleotide ribosomal RNA is filed under the name uncultured bacterium. RNAcentral's name for it is "partial 16S ribosomal RNA". It matches the Rfam family "Bacterial small subunit ribosomal RNA", at positions 30 to 507 of the family's 1533-position model. The record is from RNAcentral.